UUCAAUAUCCAUAUCAAGUGUUUGGUAAAUGCGUUUAUGAAUGAUCUUUAAAAACAUUUUAAGUGUGUGAGACAUCAGGCUUAUGGUGCGGUGGUCGGUGCAUUCUCUAGCAUUUUUCUUUUUUGGGAGACAAAUAAAUGUUGAGGUCAACCAUUCGUUGGGUAUGUCACCCGACUGAUAAAUUUCAUUAAAGAGCUUUAAGAGGACAUCUAUGUACUUAUUUUCUAUUAUUUUAAGGAUAUCGAUAGGCAGUUGAUCUGGCCCCGGGCUUUUUCCGUUACUGGUGUUUUUUAGUGCAUACAAUAUUUCUUCCUUUGUAAUUUCUACACUUGU
Diabrotica virgifera virgifera (western corn rootworm) is the source of this 333-nucleotide long non-coding RNA. RefSeq lists it as uncharacterized. The record is from RefSeq and is a predicted model, not a curated record. NCBI's taxonomy places the organism in Eukaryota, Metazoa, Arthropoda, Insecta, Coleoptera, Chrysomelidae. The transcript has 2 exons.